AGACAGAGAAUUGGGUUUUUCUUCUUCAUAGGGUUUUGAGAAGACUGAGGCAAUCGUUGCUGAAGUCAAUGUUGUAAUGGUGAAUCGGGAUUUUUAAUGAAGUGGGUUUGAUUACUCUUGACUGUUUUGUGAAAUCGAGUUACGUCUGUGAUGAAGAGUUAAAAGGGUGUCUAUAGGAUUGAGUAUGCGGAGUGAAUGAAAUUUAUUGAGUUAAUCUAUAAGACAGUCAAUAGAUAUAAGAUCGUAAGUACAAAGCGGUAUUGAAGAUUAACAGUUUGAGUUGUUCGGGGUUCUCUGUAACGUCUAGAGACCUAUCGGCUGGGACAAAAAAGGACUUCGAUAAGCAGUCGAAG
This 353-nucleotide long non-coding RNA is filed under the name Physcomitrium patens. RNAcentral's name for it is "long non-coding RNA (PPAT_LNC013830)". The record is from RNAcentral. Lineage: Eukaryota; Viridiplantae; Streptophyta; Bryopsida; Funariales; Funariaceae.